Molecule: ribosomal RNA, 253 nt
Filed under: uncultured bacterium
Lineage: Bacteria
Description: partial 16S ribosomal RNA
Rfam family: Bacterial small subunit ribosomal RNA
Source: RNAcentral
UACGUAGGGUGCGAGCGUUAAUCGGAAUUACUGGGCGUAAAGCGUGCGCAGGCUGUUUUGUAAGUCAGAUGUGAAAUCCCCGAGCUCAACUUGGGAACCGCGUUUGAAACUACAAGACUAGAAUAUGUCAGAGGGGGGUAGAAUUCCACGUGUAGCAGUGAAAUGCGUAGAGAUGUGGAGGAAUACCAAUGGCGAAGGCAGCCCCCUGGGAUAAUAUUGACGCUCAUGCACGAAAGCGUGGGGAGCAAACAGG